Molecule: small RNA, 1663 nt
Filed under: Pan troglodytes (chimpanzee)
Lineage: Eukaryota; Metazoa; Chordata; Mammalia; Primates; Hominidae
Description: retained intron
Source: RNAcentral
UCUGCAGCUCCUGGCCUGCGCGGCUUCCGGAUCCUUGGUCUGCGCUCCAGCGUGGGCCCGGCUGUGCAGGCACGAAGUGUCCAUCAGAGCGUGGCCACCGAUGGCCCAAGCAGCACCCAGCCUGCCCUGCCAAAGGCCAGAGCCGUGGCUCCCAAACCCAGCAGCCGGGGCGAGUAUGUGGUGGCCAAGCUGGAUGACCUCGUCAACUGGGCCCGCCGGAGUUCUCUGUGGCCCAUGACCUUCGGCCUGGCCUGCUGCGCCGUGGAGAUGAUGCACAUGGCAGCACCCCGCUACGACAUGGACCGCUUCGGCGUGGUCUUCCGCGCCAGCCCGCGCCAGUCCGACGUCAUGAUCGUGGCCGGCACACUCACCAACAAGAUGGCCCCAGCGCUUCGCAAGGUAGGCCUCGUCCCAGCCGCCCAGCCGCCCCCAGAGUGAGCUGCGCACGGACCCCGCCUCUCUUCCAGGUCUACGACCAGAUGCCGGAGCCGCGCUACGUGGUCUCCAUGGGGAGCUGCGCCAACGGAGGAGGCUACUACCACUACUCCUACUCGGUGGUGAGGGGCUGCGACCGCAUCGUGCCCGUGGACAUCUACAUCCCAGACUGAGCUCCUCCCUCCCUGCGGACCAUGCUCCUCCCUCCCUGGGGACCGCGCCCCUCCCUCCCUGGGGACUGCGCUCCUCCCUCCCUGCAGACCGCGCUCCUCCCUCCCUGGGGACCGAGCCCCUCCCUCCCAGCGGACCGUGCUCCUCCCUCCCUGGGGACCUCGCUCCUCCCUCCCUCCCUGCGGACUGUGCUUCUCCCUCCCUUGGAGCAGCCUGGACUUGCCAGAGCUCUGCCAGGUGGGGCCUGGCCGCCCUUUCCCAGGCCCUGCAGUGGCCUUGUCCUUUCUCACCUGUUUCCACUCCCGCUGUCCCCGUUGGGCCCUGGGCUUCGUCCUCUUGCUCAAGCCCUUUGCUCUGAACCUGCGUGGCAGCCGGGACUGGGGGAUCCCCAGCAAAGAGCUCUGGCUUGAGGCUCAGAAAGAGGGUCAUCGGGUCCUAGUGGGAUGCCCGGGCUCUGGGCCACCUCCCCUCCCUCCGCCCAGCCUCCCUGCCUCCAUCUCCGUCCAGGGCAGCCCCGGGCCCUGCUCCCCACGUCUGCUGAGCGCUGGCCCCCAUGGAGUCCUGAGGGCUGGGGCCGGGGGCCGGGUUAGUGAGGUCAGCGUCUUGUCCGAGAGGUCCCUGUGACAGCCCGGGAUGAGCCACGGGUGGAGGGCAGUGGGGCCUUGCCCAGGGGAGGACCCCACUCUUCCUGCAGGGACCUCCCCUGCGCCGGCUCCCAGCCCCUGGCACUGCGCCCACCCAGGGCUGUCAGCCUCCACCUUCAGAGGCCGGCCCGGGAGACCCCUCCAAAGCCGAGCCGGCUGCGCUGUGCACGCGGUCACGCGGGCUCCGGCUGCGGGAAGCGAGACUGAGGCAAGGUCCCUGCAGGCUGCCCACCUACGGCCGAGGCCCUGCUCUAUGGCAUCCUGCAGCUGCAGAGGAAGAUCAAGCGGGAGCGGAGGCUGCAGAUCUGGUACCGCAGGUAGCGCCGCCGCCGGAGCCUGUCGCUGUCCUGUCCCCAGCCUGCUUGUGUCCCGUGAGGUUGUCAGUAAACCUGCCCUCGGGCUGCCGCCUCCCA